GUCUAUGGCCAUGCCACCCUGAACAAGCCCGAUCCCGUCUGAUCUCGGAAGCUAAGCAGGGUCGGGCCUGGUUAGUACUUGGAUGGGAGACCACCUAGGAAGACCAGGUGCUGUAGGUG
This 119-nucleotide ribosomal RNA is filed under the name Pteropus alecto (black flying fox). The record is from RNAcentral. Lineage: Eukaryota; Metazoa; Chordata; Mammalia; Chiroptera; Pteropodidae.